GCCCCGUCUGGUGGCACGUGCCUGUAGUCUCAGCUACUCGGGAGGCUGAGGUGGAAGGAUCGCUUGAGUCCAGGAGUUCUGGGCUGUAGUGCGCUAUGCCGAUUGGGUGUCUGCACUAAGCUUGGCAUCAAUAUGGUGACCUCCCAGGAGCAGGGGACCACUAGGUUGCCUAAGGAGCAGUGAACUGGCCCAGGUUGGAAACGGAGCAGGCCAAAACUCCCGUGCUGAUCAGUAGUGGGAUCACGCCUGUGAAUAGCCACUGCACUCCAGCCUGGGCAACAUAGUGAGACCCCAUCUCU
RNAcentral lists this signal recognition particle RNA (299 nucleotides) under Aotus nancymaae (Ma's night monkey). RNAcentral's name for it is "Metazoan signal recognition particle RNA (ENSANAG00000005542.1)". It matches the Rfam family "Metazoan signal recognition particle RNA". From Rfam's summary of the family: The signal recognition particle (SRP) is a universally conserved ribonucleoprotein. It is involved in the co-translational targeting of proteins to membranes. Lineage: Eukaryota; Metazoa; Chordata; Mammalia; Primates; Aotidae. The record is from RNAcentral.